RNAcentral lists this ribosomal RNA (354 nucleotides) under uncultured Geobacillus sp. RNAcentral's name for it is "bacterial SSU rRNA". It matches the Rfam family "Bacterial small subunit ribosomal RNA", at positions 1026 to 1382 of the family's 1533-position model. The record is from RNAcentral. Lineage: Bacteria; Bacillati; Bacillota; Bacilli; Caryophanales; Anoxybacillaceae.
ACAGGGCGACAGGUGGUGCAUGGUUGUCGUCAGCUCGUGUCGUGAGAUGUUGGGUUAAGUCCCGCAACGAGCGCAACCCUCGCCUCUAGUUGCCAGCAUCGGUUGGGCACUCUAGAGGGACUGCCGGCGACAAGUCGGAGGAAGGUGGGGAUGACGUCAAAUCAUCAUGCCCCUUAUGACCUGGGCUACACACGUGCUACAAUGGGCGGUACAAAGGGCUGCGAACCCGCGAGGGGGAGCGAAUCCCAAAAAGCCGCUCUCAGUUCGGAUUGCAGGCUGCAACUCGCCUGCAUGAAGCCGGAAUCGCUAGUAAUCGCGGAUCAGCAUGCCGCGGUGAAUACGUUCCCGGGCCUU